UGAAACCUUAGGCGGGCAGAUCCAUUUUCUGCCACCGAAUACAUUAGCAUGGGAUAAUGGAAUAGGACCCUGUCCUCCUAUUUUCAGUUGGUUUUGGCAGCGCGAGGACUAGGGUAAUGAUUAAUAGGGAUAGUUGGGGGCAUUAAUAUUUAAUUGUCAGAGGUGAAAUUCUUGGAUUUAUGAAAGAUUAACUUCUGCGAAAGCAUCUGCCAAGGAUGUUUUCAUUAAUCAAGAACGAAAGUUAGGGGAUCGAAGACGAUCAGAUACCGUCGUAGUCUUAACCAUAAACGAUGCCGACCAGCGAUUAGGAGACGUUGAAUACAAAACACCACCAUCGGCGCGGUCGUCCUUGGCGUCUGUCCCUUUCAACGGGGGCAGGCGCGAGGGCGGUUUAGCCCGGUGGCACCGGUGAAUGACUCCCUAGCAGAUUGGUGGAGAAUGG
Molecule: ribosomal RNA, 442 nt
Filed under: Acanthamoeba genotype T4
Lineage: Eukaryota; Discosea; Longamoebia; Acanthamoebidae
Description: SSU rRNA
Rfam family: Eukaryotic small subunit ribosomal RNA
Source: RNAcentral